Molecule: ribosomal RNA, 383 nt
Filed under: uncultured bacterium
Lineage: Bacteria
Description: bacterial SSU rRNA
Rfam family: Bacterial small subunit ribosomal RNA
Source: RNAcentral
AUUGAACGCUGGCGGCAUGCUUUACACAUGCAAGUCGAACGGGGUGAAGGGGCAACUCUUCAUUCAGUGGCGAACGGGUGAGUAAUGCAUCGGAACGUACCUCGUAGUGGGGAUAACUCGGCGAAAGCCGUGCUAAUACCGCAUAUGCUCUACGGAGGAAAGCAGGGGACCUGAGAGGGCCUUGUGCUAUGGGAGCGGCCGAUGUCCGAUUAGCUAGUUGGGGGGUAAGUGGCCUACCAAGGCGACGAUCGGUAGCUGGUCUGAGAGGAUGAUCAGCCACACUGGGACUGAGACACGGCCCAGACUCCUACGGGAGGCAGCAGUGGGGAAGUUUUGGACAACGGGGGCGAACCCUGAUCCAGCCAUGCCGCGUGCGGGAAGAA